Molecule: long non-coding RNA, 1139 nt
Organism: Sitophilus oryzae (rice weevil)
Lineage: Eukaryota; Metazoa; Arthropoda; Insecta; Coleoptera; Curculionidae
Exons: 4
Source: RefSeq, a predicted model, not a curated record
UUAUUUUAAGUCAUGCGAUUGGCCAGAUCAGAAUUGUCAUUUGAUUUUACACCUGUGUUGCCAAGAUAUUUACAAAGUCCUGAAACUAAUCUCAACCAAUAAAUUUACACGGGGUUAUCUAUACAGCAAAAAUAAUCACUUUGAUUAAUGUGUUCAAUCUGGCAACGCUGACAGUGCGACGUAUUCCGUUGUGCACGCAGCAUGUCCUUAUGUGGCUCUGACAAAUUUUUCUGAUUUUUGGUAGAAAAAAUGGUUUUUCUGUACAAUAUUUGAGUGCAUUCUAUUCCUUAAGGCCUGUUUAACUUCGUGAAAAUGAGCGUUAUUAAUAAUACACCAUAAUCACAUCAAGACUACCAAAAGACGAGACAUGAGUUACCUACCUCUUAUAUAAUCCUGAUAUUUGGCCAUUAUUCUGGUUUACAAGAUUCUAUAUCUCUUCUAUUAUUAUUUGAUUGAAAAUUUACAAUCCGAUGGAUGUAUACAGUUCCAGGGCAGUACAUAUCAUAUCAAAAUCUAAUAAAUUCUAUUAUGUUUUUGAAUAUUGCCAGCAGUGCAUUAGGACUUAUAAGUAUAUCUAGAAUGUGAUUUCUUUUGGGUAAAUAUAAUUUCAAUUCUUUCGUAAUUAAGCAAGAAAAAAAUUUCCAUAUUUCUCUUAGUUUUAUUUUUAUGAUAUCUUAGUAUCAUAGAUAAAUUCAGACCAUCUAUUUUUAAGACUGGUUUUUUGCUAUUUUUUACUUAGAAUUUUACUUCAUGUUUUUGGUUUAGUUUCAUUUCCCUAUAACAGCUUGACUCCCAUAUUUAGUGCACUUAUUUAAGGCUCACCCUGUAUAUUUCCUUGUUUUUGAGAAUAAUAUCACCAUUUAUCAAUUCUCUAAAAUCCCUUUGACUAUAUUUCUAUGUCUUCUUUUACUUGUAUUAUUUUUCUUAUGUUGUCAUUCUUCUAAUAAUACUUUUUUUCUUAAACAGAAUUUUAGUUUUGAUGGAUUCAUUGUUUUCAAUUAAUUUUUUAAUUCCUAGUUAAUUUAUACCAUUUAUUCAAAAAAAUUGACUUGGCCACCAAAUGUUGUUUUUGAAUCUUCUAGCAUUUUUCCAGUGAAUUUUCCUGUGUAACAUCGACUCCAGAGCAUCAUAACUAGCCU